GCGAUUCUCCUGCCUCAGCCUCCCAAGUAGCUGGGAUUACAGAACUGACUGGGAGAACCCAGCAAGGCUGGUCUGGUGUUCAGAUUCUUCCUGGCCUCUGUGCAGCCUCCUUCCUUCUGGGUAAAGGAGCAAGACCCUCUGUGGAAUGAGGUCUUAUGAACUACACUCAAGCAAGAAGUAUGUCUUAUCUGAUGGCUUCACAGUAAUCUGGUUUCCCCUAAGAAGCUAAGACUAUCUGGGCUAUUUGAGAUCCUGCAAGAUUUAUCAAGACUGUACUAGCCAUAUGAAAGCAUGUUAACACAGGGAGGGAGAGAGGAAAAGCCCUCCACAUGUUAUGACUGGCAUACAUGCUUCCAAAGCAUCGUUACUAACCGAAGGCCCAGUUCCUGAGGCGAUCACCCCAGACACACUGAAUGCAAUUUGUUGGUCACUGAGUGGGUAUACCUAAUCACCACAGAUGUUUACAUGCAGCUGCAUUUUCUCUCCGUUUGAGUCACAAUGUUUUAUAUGUAAAUAGUAUUGUGUGCAUGUGUGUGCAUAUGUGUAUUUAUCCUCCAAGUCCAGAUGGAGUUAAUUUUCUGCUGUUAUUUGUAGUUCAUGUUUCAUAUCUAAGAAACUAAGGACCCAGAUGAGCUUUCCUUGGUGUCACAAACUUUUUUUUUUUUUUUUUAAUAGAGAUGAGGUCUCACUAUAUUGCCCAGGCUGGUCUCCAACUCCUGAGCUCAAGUGAUCUUCCUGCCUUAGCCUCUCCAAGUGCUGGGAUUACAGAUGUGAGCCACUGCACCUGGCCAACAAACUUCUGAUUCUUAUAGAAUCAGAUGUAAUUCCUUAGAGACCUGAGAAGUUCUAUACUCAGGUUCUUUCGUGCCGUCUGACUCCAAGAGCUCUUGCCUGAAGGAGGUCCCUUCCAGGACACUGAGUCCCAACCCACACCACCUCCUUGGAGGGCGUGUGCCCUCUCUUCCGCUGACCUUGACAUUCUUGCACAGGCUGCUUGUGCACAGAGGCAUCACCUCCCAGAGGGGACCUCUGGAGUGGCCCCAGGUACCAGGUACAGUCAGCCGCUUCUACCUGUGGAAGGCGAUCAGGGUAGAAAGCUCUGGGAAGCACUAAAAAUACACACAACCCUUACAAACACAACUCGGUGAUACAUGCUAAUAGUUCUGGACUCCAAACUGGGGCCAAAGCACAGACUCCACAGCUAGUUCUAGCAUGUAGCAGAUGUCACCCAACCUGGAAAGCUACUUGGUUGAAACUUAGUUAAAUCCGUGGCCACAGCAGUUUUAUACUUGACCUGAGUCCUCCAAUGUCUGCCACACCUGCAGUGGCUUCCUUCCCAUUCUCUCUCUCCUCUAAAAUACAAGAGGCAUUUCCCCCCAGUGCAGGAAGAUGGAACAGACUAUUUUGGUUAAUCAUCUACAUUUGUGUUCUUGAGUUUCUUCUGGAGUUGUCCAGCCUGGGGCUGCAUGCACAUUGGCCCACCACAAAUGCCUCCCUCUGCGGAGAGUGAGGUGGGCCGGUCGGGGCAGAACGCCUGCUUCUCAAUGCACCCCUUGCUCACUCAGCUCUGGGAGCCCCCCUGCCAGCGUGCCCGAGAGCUACUCUAAAUGAAGUUCGAGCUCCAUUUCAGGAAGGUGGUGAGACAAUAAAAUAACCCAGGAUGACGUGAACAGUUUUGCAUUUGCUUCAAACUCUGAAAGGAUUCAUGGUUCCCACGGCCUCCAGACUGGAUGGACCACUUUGGGUUUCAAUGGCAGGAUGAUUUUUCUGUAAAACAAUGGCUGGCUUUAAAUUUCUUCUUCUAGAACAAACCAAAAAAGAAAAGAAAAAACAAACCACUAAUUCUUAAGGAUGCAUAGGCCCCAGUUGCCUGAUGGUAUGUAGAAAGAAAGAAAGAAAUACAGCGGUAAUGUUCUGGUGAGGGAGCUAGUUUCCUAGGAGUCAAGUAGAAGUUUGCUGUUGACUCCAUGAUUAGCCUACGUCUGAGGUUGUAUCUAUUACUUGCCCAUCAUAUGAAAUAUGCUUUAAUCAAAAGAAACAUCUUAUUGAAACACUCCAUGCCAACAUUACCUUCAGACUUUGCCACCAUAACAUAUACGUUCUUUUUCCAGUUUGCCGCUGGUUGAAAUGACUAAGUGGAAACGGGAGAUGCAGGAAGAAAGUCACCCUCCUAUGAUGAGAGACGGAUGUGUGGGGCCCUAAUGAGGAACCCUUUACUCCAUGAAACCGAGGGAAAGAGCUGCGCUGAGCCACGUCUGGCUGACUCUGCACAGACAAAACGGGGCAGCUCUGCUGGCCACCAAGCCCAUCAGCAGCCAGGUGGUCAGCGAGGAGCAGCUGCCCUGAGGGCUGAUGGUAGGAGGCAGAGAGCCCAGGGCCGAAAGAACAGCGGGCUCAGUGCCCUGCUCCCUCCUUCUCAGCCCCGCCACGGGGAAGCACAGUUUGGCCCCAUUUUCAAAACCACUGUGUUUUAUUUCUAUUGUCCCAAACCCUCUGGCCUUCUUCCUAGAGAACACCAAGAGGAAUGCUCUCACCAGUUUGGUUGAAACCUUAUUUUUUAGUUUGUGCACAUUCAAUGUCACUGUGCUAAGAGUGACCGGAUGCAUUAGUCAGUUUUCAUGCUGCUAAUAAAGACAUACUGGCCCAGCGCAGUGACUCACGCCUGUAAUC
This 2670-nucleotide long non-coding RNA is filed under the name Homo sapiens (human). RNAcentral's name for it is "HSALNT0360690". Lineage: Eukaryota; Metazoa; Chordata; Mammalia; Primates; Hominidae. The record is from RNAcentral.